GAGGGAGAUUAUCAUUUUUGGAGACUGUACACCCUCACAUUGUAUCUUUUACCAUGAGGAUGACUUAGAGAUCUCACUUGGUUGGUACACAGAAUAUAGGACUUCAUGCCAUAAAAUAUGGAAUCAAAUAGCCUUACAUACCUUGUCUCCCGACCAAUACUAUGUGGUACCAUGAAUCAACCUUUCCUUUGAGGCGUUA
Molecule: long non-coding RNA, 199 nt
Filed under: Solanum tuberosum (potato)
Lineage: Eukaryota; Viridiplantae; Streptophyta; Magnoliopsida; Solanales; Solanaceae
Description: long non-coding RNA (STUB_LNC011654)
Source: RNAcentral